GUGUGAAAGAUAAAAUUAAUUUCAAUUGCUAUUGGAAAAAAUCAGAAAUUGUAUGAGAUUUGCAAGAGCUAGUUUCUUAAACGGAAAUUGACUUCUAUUUUGUGGGAAAUUAGUUUUGCAGACUUUCUUAAAAAAAAAAAAAAUCUAAAACUUUUGUUCAGCAGCUGCUCCACUUUUCCCUGCAGUUUCAGACUGAGCUGGAACCUGCAGCAGUCUUUCGACGGUCCCCUUAACCUUAUGAAAAUGGAACUGUAAAACCUAGUAAGAGCUGCAGUUCAAAGGAAUUCUUUGGGCCAAGACAAAACCAGCCUGGAUUCUGUCAUCCUUACAGUGAACAGUAUCUAGAGGAGCACGCAGAAGCAACAGUUUGAAUGAAGAGCACGAACAAAAGCAGGAGAAGAAGAUACCAGACUGGCAGUGAUCCCAAGCCGCUCAAGCACUGAUGUUCAGGACA
Long non-coding RNA from Dryobates pubescens (Downy woodpecker), 454 nucleotides. RefSeq lists it as uncharacterized. The transcript is spliced from 3 exons. Lineage: Eukaryota; Metazoa; Chordata; Aves; Piciformes; Picidae. The record is from RefSeq and is a predicted model, not a curated record.